UACGUAGGGGGCUAGCGUUGUCCGGAAUCAUUGGGCGUAAAGCGCGCGUAGGUGGCUUCGUAAGUCCGUUGUGAAAGUCAAAGGCUCAACCUUUGAAAGCCGAUGGAUACUGCGGAGCUAGAGUACGGAAGAGGCGAGUGGAAUCCUGGUGUAGCGGUGAAAUGCGCAGAUAUCAGGAGGAACACCACAGCGAAGGCAGAUCUCUGGGACGUUACUGACGCUGAGACGCGAAAGCGUGGGGAGCAAACAGG
RNAcentral lists this ribosomal RNA (251 nucleotides) under uncultured bacterium. RNAcentral describes it as "partial 16S ribosomal RNA". It matches the Rfam family "Bacterial small subunit ribosomal RNA", at positions 524 to 776 of the family's 1533-position model. The record is from RNAcentral.